RNAcentral lists this ribosomal RNA (465 nucleotides) under uncultured bacterium. RNAcentral describes it as "partial 16S ribosomal RNA". It matches the Rfam family "Bacterial small subunit ribosomal RNA", at positions 28 to 507 of the family's 1533-position model. The record is from RNAcentral.
GACGAACGCUGGCGGCGUGCUUAACACAUGCAAGUCGUACGGUAAGGCCCUUUCGGGGGUACACGAGUGGCGAACGGGGGAGUAACACGUGAGUAACCUGCCCACAACUUUGGGAUAACGCUAGGAAACUGGUGCUAAUACUGGAUAUGUGCUCCUGCUGCAUGGUGGGGGUUGGAAAGCUCCGGCGGUUGUGGAUGGACUCGCGGCCUAUCAGCUUGUUGGUGGGGUAGUGGCCUACCAAGGCGGCGACGGGUAGCCGGCCUGGGUGGGUGACCGGCCACAUUGGGACUGGGAUACGGCCCCGACUCCUACGCGUGGGAGAGGUGGGGAAUGUUGCACUAUGGCCGCGAGCCUGAUGCAGCAACGCCGCGUGCGGGAUGACGGCCUUCGGGUUGUAAACCGCUUUCAGCAGGGACGAAGCUUUUUGUGACGGUACCUGCAGAAGAAGCACCGGCUAACUACGUG